UCUUGAACUCCUGGCCUCAAGUGAUCUGCCCACCUUGGCCUCCCAGAGUGCUGGGAUUACAGGCAUGAGCCACCACACCCAGCCUCUGCCAUGCUUUUCUCAGAAUGCAAUGAUCAGCUGCUCUGUUUCUCUGGUACAGAUGCAAGGUGGCCAGAACAUGCCUGCUCUCCAGCUCCCCAGUUUCAUAUGUGUAGUUUCAGUCACAAAGAAAGACUGGUUCUCUCAGCAGAUUCCUGGAAGAAAGACUAUCUGGCUAAACAUGGUUCCCCGACCACCCCAAGUUCAAAGCUGUGGUCAAAGUCAGGAUCACGUGGUGCAAAUGUGGCUUCCUUGAAACAGCCAUCAUUUCAUAUCUCUCCUGGGCAUCCUUGUCCUCUGCAAAUUGGCUUUCUCUUACCUAUCCAGGCUCAUGGCAGAAGAUGGCUACACCAUGGACCUCAAAUUUUGUCACAUUCCUCCACCCAGCCAUGCUAGAAAUCAACCAGAACUGUUGAGCCUCAAUGCUGACUCCCUUGGAAAGAGAAUUUGGCUGUUGGAGUGCAAUGUCAUGAUCUCGGCUCACCGCAACCUCCGCCUCCUAAGUUCAAGCGAUUCUCCUGCCUCAGCCUUUUGGAGAUGGAGUCUUCCCAUGUUGCUCAUGCUGAUCUCAAACUCCUAGGCUCAAUGGAUCCUCCUGCCUUGCCUCCUAAAGUGCUGGGAUUACAGGUAUGAGCCACCUUGCCUGUUUGAGAUUCACCUUUCUAAAAGCAAAACAUCUAUC
Molecule: long non-coding RNA, 760 nt
Organism: Callithrix jacchus (white-tufted-ear marmoset)
Lineage: Eukaryota; Metazoa; Chordata; Mammalia; Primates; Cebidae
Source: RefSeq, a predicted model, not a curated record